AGCAGUAGGGAAGUCUUCGGCAAUGGACGAAAGUCUGACCGAGCAACGCCGCGUGAGUGAAGAAGGUUUUCGGAUCGUAAAACUCUGUUGGUAGAGAAGAACGUUGGUGAGAGUGGAAAGCUCAUCAAGUGACGGUAACUACCCAGAAAGGGACGGCUAACUACGUGCCCG
RNAcentral lists this ribosomal RNA (171 nucleotides) under uncultured bacterium. RNAcentral describes it as "partial 16S rRNA". It matches the Rfam family "Bacterial small subunit ribosomal RNA", at positions 350 to 511 of the family's 1533-position model. The record is from RNAcentral.